Molecule: ribosomal RNA, 241 nt
Filed under: uncultured bacterium
Lineage: Bacteria
Description: partial 16S ribosomal RNA
Rfam family: Bacterial small subunit ribosomal RNA
Source: RNAcentral
UACAGAGACUGCAAGCGUUAUUCGGAUUCACUGGGCGUAAAGGGUGCGCUAGGCGGCCGGGUGUGUCAGAUGUGAAAUCCCGAGGCUUAACCUCGGAACUGCGUCUGAAACUACUCGGCUAGAGUAUUGGAGAGGGUAACGGAAUUCACGGUGUAGCAGUGAAAUGCGUAGAUAUCUGAAGGAACACCCAGUGGCGAAGGCGACUCCCUGGACUCAAACUGACGCUGAGGCACGAAAGCGU